This 387-nucleotide long non-coding RNA is filed under the name Populus tremula. RNAcentral's name for it is "long non-coding RNA (PTRE_LNC001872)". Lineage: Eukaryota; Viridiplantae; Streptophyta; Magnoliopsida; Malpighiales; Salicaceae. The record is from RNAcentral.
UUUUCUUUGAACGUAGAUAAGAGAUCUUAAAAGCCAAAGAGAUGAUAGGAGUAGCUCGCUAAAGCCCUUCGCCCCGGAAAGAAAGUUUCUUUGUGACUCUACCUGGGGAAGCAAGAAAGCAUUCCUGCGAAGCUAAGCAGGAAGAAAGGGUUGGGAAUAGAAUAGAAAGUACACAGGAUGGAGCUCGAAUCCCAUCGUUUUCCAAGAGACCCGAACCUAAUCUCGAAAAGCUCUGGGCAUGCCGGCACGGGUUAUUUCCACAAAUGGGACUGGUUAUCCUACGUUCUAUUGAGUGGGGACUUCACAACUCGCUGGUUGAUCAUCAUUGGGAGGUUUCUCCAGACACAGAGGCUAGGAACAUUCUUCUCUUAACAGAUGAAAGGGGGA